RNAcentral lists this ribosomal RNA (468 nucleotides) under uncultured bacterium. RNAcentral describes it as "partial 16S ribosomal RNA". It matches the Rfam family "Bacterial small subunit ribosomal RNA", at positions 28 to 507 of the family's 1533-position model. The record is from RNAcentral.
GACGAACGCUGGCGGCGUGCCUAACACAUGCAAGUCGAACGGAAAGACCCUGCUUUUGUGUGGUUCUCGAGUGGCGCACGGGUGUGUUGCACAGGAGUAUCCUGCCCUUUGCUGGGUGAUAUCUUGAGGCAACUGCGGCUAAUACAUGAUAGGAGCUCGUGCAGCAUGGGGGUGGUUGGACAGUUUCGGCUGUGCGGGCUCGAUGGGGGGGUUAUCAGCUUGUUGGUGGGGUAGUUGCUUACCCAGCCUUUGACGGGUAGCCUGCAUGGGAGGGUGAACGGCCACAAUGGGCCUGAGAUAGGGCGCAGACGGGUACGGGAGGCAGCAGUGGGGAAUAUUGCACAAUGGGCGGAAGCGUGUUGAAGAAAUGCCGCGUGCGGGAUGAAGGCUUUCUGGGGGUAAACCGCUGUAGCCUGAGACGAAGCGGUAUUGACGGUAAUGGGUAAAGAAGCACCGGCUAACUACGUG